This 899-nucleotide ribosomal RNA is filed under the name Amanita aff. sinicoflava. RNAcentral's name for it is "partial large subunit ribosomal RNA". It matches the Rfam family "Eukaryotic large subunit ribosomal RNA", at positions 73 to 936 of the family's 3401-position model. The record is from RNAcentral. Lineage: Eukaryota; Fungi; Basidiomycota; Agaricomycetes; Agaricales; Amanitaceae.
GAUUCCCCUAGUAACUGCGAGUGAAGCGGGAAAAGCUCAAAUUUGAAAUCUGGCAGUCUUUUUUUUCUUCUUUGGCUGUCCGAGUUGUAAUCUAGAGAAGUGCUUACCUGCGCUGGACCAUGUAUAAGUCUCCUGGAAUGGAGCCUCACAGAGGGUGAGAAUCCCGUCUUUGACAUGGACCGCCAGUGCGUUGUGGUGCGCUCUCAAAGAGUCGAGUUGUUUGGGAAUGCAGCUCUAAACGGGUGGUAAACUCCAUCUAAAGCUAAAUAUUGGCGAGAGACCGAUAGCGAACAAGUACCGUGAGGGAAAGAUGAAAAGGACUUUGGAAAGAGAGUUAAACAGUAUGUGAAAUUGUUGAAAGGGAAACGCUUGAAGUCAGUUAUGUCGGCUGGGGAUCAACCUAGCCAUCUUUUUGGCUGGGUGAAUUUCCUAGUCUGACAGGCCAACAUCAGUCUUGACUGCCGGAAAAGAGCGGAGGGAAUGUGGCACCUUUGGGUGUGUUAUAGCCCUCUGUCAUAUGCGGCAGUCGGGACUGAGGGAUGCAGCGUGCCGCGAGGCUGGGUUUCGACCACGUUCACGCUUAGGAUGUUGGCUUUUAAUGGCUCCAAUCGACCCGUCUUGAAACACGGACCAAGGAGUCUAACAUGCCUGCGAGUGUUUGGGUGGAAAACCCUUGUGCACAAUGAAAGUGAAAGUUGAGAUCCCCGUCAUGGGGAGCAUCGACGCCCGGACUUGAGCUUUUAGCGACGGAUCCGCGGUAGAGCAUGCAUGUUGGGACCCGAAAGAUGGUGAACUAUGCCUGAAUAGGGCAAAGCCAGAGGAAACUCUGGUGGAGGCUCGUAGCGAUUCUGACGUGCAAAUCGAUCGUCAAAUUUGGGUAUAGGGGCGAAAGACUAAUC